This is a long non-coding RNA of Sinocyclocheilus grahami, 3148 nucleotides long. Ensembl lists it as uncharacterized. NCBI's taxonomy places the organism in Eukaryota, Metazoa, Chordata, Actinopteri, Cypriniformes, Cyprinidae. The record is from Ensembl.
GGGAUUUGUAUAAUGUACGUGAAAUAAAUGAACGAUUUUUUUUUUUGUAUUGCAUUGCUAAGAACAUAAACCAUCAAUGCCAGGGGUACAUACAAUUGAGAGUACAAAUGCAAAUUACAAAAUCAGGAAAAUAUCGUACAAAAUGAACGAUUUGUGACAUUUCAAGUGUCGGACGCAUGACGCCAGCGGGCUGCAAGAGUCUGAGCCAAUCACAAAGUUCAGAACGACUGACGCACAUACGUCAUGAACGUGCAGGCCUACGUGACGCGCGAGUCAGCUGACGCUGUGUGUAAAUGAACUCUUUACGUGAUUUCCCAAGAUUUCCACGCCGCGAAAUGUAUGAAGAAAUGUCAGUAGAAAGAAACUGGACGGACACCGAGACGAGGGCGCUGCUGUACAUCCGACAGGACGAAGAAAUCAGUAGGCAAAUCAGCGGAACGGUUCGCGACUCUCUUAUUUACGCGGAAAUAUCAAAGCUUCUGCGGGCGCAAGGGAUCCACAGAACCAAGCGACAGGUCACCACCAAACUGAAAACACUCAAGCAGAAGUUCCUGAAAAUACUCGAGCAUCACAAAAACAACGGCCACGGCAGAGUGUACUGGAAUUAUUAUGAUCUCUGCAAGUCCAUUUGGGGCAGCAACCGCCCCGCGGACGCGUUGACGCUUCACAACAACGUGAAACUCGAAGAGCCCCAGAGUACCUCCAUCGAGGACACGCGACAUGAGAGCAGAUCCACAGACAUCGAGGUGUCCGUCAGUCACGACGAGGAGACGGAGGACACGGCAGACGUGGUCGCUCAGCCUGUGAGGAAGAAGGCCAAAAAACAUUCCGUUACCGACUCUGUGAGAGAUCAAGAACCUCUUCACGUGCAGAACCAGAGGGAGUACGAGGAACGCUUGCGAAGGGAAGCCAGAGAGGAACAGAAGGAGGAACGGGCGAGUCUGAUGGCCAUGUGGAAGGAGAUGAUGGAGUUUCAAGGGAACCUCUUAAAGGAGUUCAUACACCGCCCAUCUCUGCCUUCACAUCCAUCUUACCACAGACAUGCUCUUCACAACCAAGCACGCUCUAGUUUUCCAAGCACUAGCUACAUGCCACUGUACGACUCGCCAGGAGCUGAAACUGAGAAUGAAAGUGCUGACAUAAUUUUGUGUGUAUUUGAUCAUUCAAGCGCAAUAAGUCAUGAAAGGGAACUGAAUUCAGCCUAAGUGUAAUAAAUUUGACAAACUCCAUUUUGCUAAUUUAACAACUCUGCCCUUUCACAGAGCUGAAACUGAGAAUGAAAGUGCAAUCUCACAUGAAGAAGAAGAAGAGGAGGAGGAAGAGAAAUACAUUAUUCCAGCUGAGAUUGCACCUGUGUUGGACAUUCAGCCUGUUAACCGUGCGAACGACAGCCAAUCAAACACAGCAGAGACUUUUUCACCCCCGCCUACACAAUCAGCAGGAAAGAGCGAUCUGGAGAUGUCUGUGCUACGCAGACAGGAACGAGUCUUACAGCUUCAGGAAGAGUACUAUUCACUCAAAAUCAACUAUCUGAAACACAAGAUGGCCAAGGAUCCAUGACAGAAUGCUAAAGAGGAGUGUUAACUCUUGCUCUUUCAAGCUGUGAAAACUUGCAAAUGUAGAUGUUCUCAGCUGGACUGUUGAAAAUUUCAGUGCACCUCAUAUUCCUUGUAAUUCUUAUUACAUAUUUUGACCAGUAGAUGGCAAGGUGGUUACUUCAUAUAUUUCCUGGUGUCAUUAGACAUGUGAUUUACAGCUAAGGCUGUAAAUAUAUGAAUAUUUAUAUAAAUUUGCACAUUUUUAUGGCAGUUUACUAGCAGUUGUUUGCAAAAUUGUCUCCAUUUUCUCCACUAAAGGUUACUGGUCUUAUUAUAAGUGAUUCAUUAGUUUGUUGUGUAACAAUCAAUCACACAAUUAUGUCACAAUCAAUUCCUGAUGGAUAACAGUCUUGCUUUACCUUUUAUGUUCCCAUUUAAGGUUCUGUUUUGCACAAUAUAGCAGUAAAUAUAGCGUUGCAAAUGCAGUUUAAUGCUGACUAUAGGAACUACCGUGAGCUAGAUGUUACACUUCUAAUGUGGAGUAUGUCCGUUACCAUUAUUUUUCAUUAAAUUAAUGAAAACCAGCGAGGAGUCGGAAACAUAGUAUUCAAAAUACUAAAUCAAAAGAAUUUAGAAUUUCAAAGAAUUGUUUAAAGCAGGGAUUCCCAAACUAAUUUGUCCGUCAAACCCCCCUUUGAACUAAAAUAUUUUCUUGAGAUUUUAAGUUAUAUGUAAUAUUUGAAAACAUCUGCAUGUUCACGGUUCUGUGAUGUCAGUUAAUGGUCACAUGACAUGCAGGUAAACAAAUAAAAUAUUGUUUUUAAAAAAAAAAUAAUUUACAUUUUUGUAUUUUAUUUUGAAGCUAUUUAUUUUGCAUUUUAAAAUGUUUAAUAAAUAUUGGCUUUUCAUUAUCUCACAACCCUCUGCAGUUCCUUUGUGAAACCCAGAUUGGGAAACUCUGGUUUAUAGGAACAGUUCAUCUGAAUACAAAAAAAAAGAGAAAAAUCUGUUGUUCUGAACCCUUAUGCUGUUAUUUGUUCUGUACACAGCUCUUACAACAUCUGUCAAGCUUUAAACGGGACCAAAAGCACACAAGUCUUAUGGAGUAUUUUGUGUUCCCUUACGUCUGUCAAACUCCAAAAAGGCCCUUUUUGAGCUUGACGGACCCGGGUCACUGUGAACUGUCAGUGUAUGGCAAGAGCUGUGCAACAAUUCUUCGAAAAUGUCUACAUUUGUGUUUCACAGAAAGAAAUAAGAGCAUACAGGUUUGGAAUAACACGAGUAAAUAAUGACAGGAUUUUCGUUCUAUAGGUUUAUGCUAUAGCUCCAAAAGCUCCAGCUAUAAUGUUUUUUUAUCCUUCAGUGUUCUUUUCUGUUUAUUAUCACUCUCUUUCUCUUGUAUUUUCACUUCCAUCUCUCUGUUGUUCCCAAUCUCCCUCCUGCUAUUACUUCUCACACGAAGACAUUAUGAUUAUAUGACAGACCUGUCUUUUGUUCAGUGUUUUUGUUUUAAAAUGGAUUUUCACUUUCUUUACUGUUAAUUUAUCAUUUUUUUAUGGUUCAGUCUUUUGUGAAGAAAAAGUUUAUAGAUCUGAAGAUGAAAGUAAAAU